UCAUGGCUCAGAACGAACGCUGGCGGCGCGCCUAAUACAUGCAAGUCGAGCGAGAAGGUGUAGCAAUACACUUGUAAAGCGGCGAACGGGUGAGGAAUGCAUGGGUAACCUACCCUCGAGUGGGGAAUAACUAGCCGAAAGGUUAGCUAAUACCGCAUACGUUUCCGGAACUUCGGUUUCGGAAAGAAAGCAAUACCGUGGGUAUUGCGCUCCUGGAUGGGCUCAUGUCCUAUCAGCUUGUUGGUGAGGUAACGGCUCACCAAGGCUUCGACGGGUAGCUGGUCUGAGAGGACGAUCAGCCACACUGGCACUGCGACACGGGCCGGACUCCUACGGGAGGCAGCAGUAAGGAAUAUUGCGCAAUGGACGAAAGUCUGACGCAGCGACGCCGCGUGGGGGAUGAAGGUCUUCGGAUUGUAAACCCCUUUCGGGAGGGAAGAUGGAGUGGGUAACCACUUGGACGGUACCUCCAGAAGCAGCCACGGCUAACUUCGUG
Molecule: ribosomal RNA, 496 nt
Filed under: uncultured bacterium
Lineage: Bacteria
Description: bacterial SSU rRNA
Rfam family: Bacterial small subunit ribosomal RNA
Source: RNAcentral